ACACAGUUUACAGGACCUCAUUCGCACUCCAAUGACAAUGAAAGGAAGGGGGUGUUGGGCAGAGAAGCAAAGAGCUCCGGUUCUCACCAUCACAUGGUAGCGGGUGUAAGUUUGUUCCCAACAUACCAGACAGAGAGCAACUCUCACCAGAGAAGAUCCCAAUGUGUUUUAUGCUAGAUCUGACUUUAAUUAAGUGUAGACAAUGCUCCCAUCAGUGCUGGAACUGGCCCCGGUAACUUGCUUUAGCUGAUGGAAUGUUACCAAACACAACAUGAUCAAAGGCUUGAGAGAUGAUUUCCCUCCUGUGCUUCCGCAAUUACCAUGAAAAGAACAUGGCCUGGUGGUCCCUGAUCCCCAAAGAAUGACGGACACCUGGAAAAAGCUUGGAGUAACAGAUUCAUGAG
This 404-nucleotide long non-coding RNA is filed under the name Homo sapiens (human). RNAcentral's name for it is "HSALNT0350440". The record is from RNAcentral. Lineage: Eukaryota; Metazoa; Chordata; Mammalia; Primates; Hominidae.